GACGAACGCUGGCGGCGUGCCUAACACAUGCAAGUCGUGCGAGAAAGCCCCUUCGGGGGGUGAGUAAAGUGGCAGACGGGUGAGUAACGCGUAGAAAUCUACCUAGUAGUGGGGGAUAGCCCAGAGAAAUUUGGAUUAAUACCGCAUACGCCCUACGGGGGAAAGCGGGGGAUCUUCGGACCUCGUGCUAUUAGAUGAGUCUGCGUCGGAUUAGCUUGUUGGUGAGGUAAUGGCUCACCAAGGCGACGAUCCGUAGCUGGUCUGAGAGGAUGAUCAGCCACACUGGGACUGAGACACGGCCCAGACUCCUACGGGAGGCAGCAGUGGGGAAUAUUGGACAAUGGGCGCAAGCCUGAUCCAGCCAUGCCGCGUGGGUGAAGAAGGCCCUAGGGUUGUAAAUCCCUUUCAGCGGGGAAGAUAAUGACGGUACCCGCAGAAGAAGCCCCGGCUAACUCCGUG
Molecule: ribosomal RNA, 459 nt
Filed under: uncultured bacterium
Lineage: Bacteria
Description: bacterial SSU rRNA
Rfam family: Bacterial small subunit ribosomal RNA
Source: RNAcentral